CUGACAUGAGCUUAGAAGUACACAGGGCCAGAAAAGCCAGGAAUACUCUUCAAAAGAACAAAAGAAGAGCACAACUUACACUAAACAGAUUUUUUUAAAUGUAACAAAUCUACAACAAAGACACAAGAGCCCAUAUGGAUAUCAGAGAACAAGAACAGAACGUCCUUGACACACAUCAGUGUAUUUCAGAAUUUCAUAAGAUGAGGGCGACGUGUGACGUGAGCGGGAAAAGAAAUAAACUGAGAAACGGUGCUGGAAUGAUCGAGCUGGUCACUAGGAAAAAACAAAGUUAUAUCCCCUGCUGUUCUACUAACAGCAAAUCAAAUGCCAUACAAGAAAACGAAACUCAUAAAAGAGAAGCAGGUGAAUAUUGCUACACUGUUGAGGUGUGUGUGUGUCUGGACAGCAGGUUCUGUGAAGACACGGUGGGGACGACGCACCUGCCCACGUGGAGCCCACACUCAGGCUCGAGAGCACUGACGCGGGAGCCGGCACCGGCUGUCAAAGCGCGGGCUGGCGAGGCACACGAACACGACAACAAGCCCACUUCCUUGACGCAGAGGUCCGACUCUAAGGUUUUUACCCCAAAAAGGGGGCCAGGAUGAAGCAAGUCCUAGUGUUCUGAUGCAACGCCCGGCCACAGAGAGCUUCAAAUUUCAGUGAAACCACUUACCAACGUCUCCCCACACAGACGGCAAGCCUGACAGUCACCCCGCGGAAGCGACACGAAAGCCGGGACACCCGCCCCGCACAGCUGGUGCCUGACAGUGACACACCGCGGUGCAGCCGAGGGUGUGGGCACUAACCACACCACAGGGGUCUCUGGGACUUCCUUUAGGCCUUCUCUUGCCUCCCGGCCCCUGUCGUCUGACUCCCGGCCUGGAACUCUCUCCACGCUCUCCGUUCUCCUCCAUCAUCCGGCUCCCCAGACCAAACUCCUGGACAGUGAGCACAGAUGCCUCCUUCCGCUUCACUCCUGGCAUCAUUCAGCCACAACCCCACGGAUUCUACCCCUGCACCCUCCCUAAUCCAUCCUCCCCUGCCCCACAAUAAGUGCCCCUGCCCAUCCAUCAUUUCUCACCUGAAUUACUGCAGCGAACUCCCAACUGCCCACCCUACCCAGAGAGAGCUUUCUGAAACACAAACAGGAUAUAUUAUUCUCCAUAAAAUUCUUCAUAGCUUCCCCACUCAAACCCCUGAGUUAACACAAAUAAGGUCUGACCCCUACCUCUCCAACUUCCCAGCCUGUUUCCUGAAUUUCCAGGUCACUCCUGGUCUCAGAGACAACGUUCCCAUCCCAUCCCAUCCCAUCCCUGCAUGGAUUAAAGUCAGCACUGCUCCCCAAACUCUAGAGACCACUAAUUCUCUUGGGGACUCCUGUAAGGGUGAUCUCCCCUAUACUGAGGCCUUUUCUAACCCUCCACUCCAAUCUUCCUCCCACUACAAAACUCAUCACCCCCUCCUCUGGGCCCCUACACAUACAGCUGUUAUAGCACCCGUAAUGGGUUAUCACCCAUACGACACCUGUUUGCAGAUCAUGGAAGCUCACUGGACCACUAAUAUUAAAUCUUA
This is a long non-coding RNA of Acinonyx jubatus (cheetah), 1572 nucleotides long. RefSeq lists it as uncharacterized. The transcript has 3 exons. NCBI's taxonomy places the organism in Eukaryota, Metazoa, Chordata, Mammalia, Carnivora, Felidae. The record is from RefSeq and is a predicted model, not a curated record.